Molecule: ribosomal RNA, 205 nt
Filed under: Acroteriobatus annulatus (lesser sandshark)
Lineage: Eukaryota; Metazoa; Chordata; Chondrichthyes; Rhinopristiformes; Rhinobatidae
Description: partial large subunit ribosomal RNA
Source: RNAcentral
UACCUCUACGGACAUAACAAUAUUUUAAAUAAAUUUAACUUAACUUGUUUUUGGUUGGGGCGACCAAGGGGAAAAACAAAACCCCCUCAUCGAUUAAGCACUAAACAUGCUUAAAAAUUAGAAUGACAAUUCUAAUUAAUAGAAUAUCUACCGAACAAUGACCCAGGAUAACAUAAUCCUGAUCAAUGAACCAAGUUACCCUAGG